AGUGAACGCUGGCGGUAGGCCUAACACAUGCAAGUCGAACGGCAGCACAGUAAGAGCUUGCUCUUACGGGUGGCGAGUGGCGGACGGGUGAGGAAUACAUCGGAAUCUACUUUUUCGUGGGGGAUAACGUAGGGAAACUUACGCUAAUACCGCAUACGACCUACGGGUGAAAGCAGGGGAUCUUCGGACCUUGCGCGAUUGAUUGAGCCGAUGUCGGAUUAGCUAGUUGGCGGGGUAAAGGCCCACCAAGGCGACGAUCCGUAGCUGGUCUGAGAGGAUGAUCAGCCACACUGGAACUGAGACACGGUCCAGACUCAUACGGGAGGCAGCAGUGGGGAAUAUUGGACAAUGGGCGCAAGCCUGAUCCAGCCAUACCGCGUGGGUGAAGAAGGCCUUCGGGUUGUAAAGCCCUUUUGUUUGGAAAGAAAAGCAGCAGGUUAAUACCCCGCUGUUCUGACGGUACCCAAAGAAUAAGCACCGGCUAACUUCGUG
RNAcentral lists this ribosomal RNA (492 nucleotides) under uncultured bacterium. RNAcentral's name for it is "partial 16S ribosomal RNA". It matches the Rfam family "Bacterial small subunit ribosomal RNA", at positions 29 to 507 of the family's 1533-position model. The record is from RNAcentral.